Syngnathus typhle (broad-nosed pipefish) is the source of this 1955-nucleotide long non-coding RNA. RefSeq lists it as uncharacterized. Lineage: Eukaryota; Metazoa; Chordata; Actinopteri; Syngnathiformes; Syngnathidae. The transcript has 4 exons. The record is from RefSeq and is a predicted model, not a curated record.
GAAGCACUGGGUUAAAUGCAGAGGACAAAUUUCACCACACCCAGAUGUGUGUGUGACGAUCAUUGGGAAUUUAACUUUUAACUCAUCAUUCUGAUGUAUUGGUACAAUAUGACAUGUGUGUGUUAUGAUUCAUAAUUUUUCAUGUCAUGACGUCUGCCACACCGUGGUCACGUGACGCGGACGUGACGUUGAAGGGGGGAUCUUGCCACUGAGCUGGUCAUUAAAUAGGAAGACUUUUUUAAUGUAUUUAAAUCUAUUUUGAGUUUGCGCCAUUAUUUCAACGCAUAACAACUGUAAGUCUACUAAACAAAACAGCGGUUGCUAUAGGAUGUCAGCCAUGUUGUGGUCACAUGACGCGGACAUGAUGUCGAUGGGCGGAGCUUCCGCCAAAAUUCAAAUCCGAGCGCGCGGCUCGCGACAGGAAGACGGCAAUGCCGAGCAACGAGACACAGCGACGACUAACAAGAGAAAUAUUUUUAUUUUCUGCUUGCAACUGUACCGUCCAGAGCGCACACGAUAAUAUUACGCCGCAGUCAUGUGACGCGGACGUGACGUCGGUGGGUGGAGCUUCCGCCAAAAUUCAAAUCCGAGGACGCGGCUUGCAACUGGACGUAGGAAGGCGGCAAUGCCGAGAAACGCGACACAGCGACGACUAACAAGAGAAAUAUUUUUAUUUCCUGCUUGCAACUGGACCGUCUAGAGCGUACACGGUUCAACGUUGUUUGCUGUAUGUUUUCCACUGUAAGAAGAAGAAGAAUGUAAGAAGAAUGACUAUACAAAUCAAUUGGAGGCUUGCUUCAUUGAUCACAACCGUUCCACGCUGUUCGUUGCCAGUAUGUUUGAAGGAUACAAAGUACAACGUUUGCACGUUGGCGAAGACGUCUCCGGUGAGUCCUUCCUUCCUUUUUAUUCAUGGGAAAGUCACAGACAACAAUAGCUAAAGUAACACAUUGUUAGAGGUAACUACAUUUGUCUUAAAUUGGAUAGAUUACUUGUUCCCACACCUUUUCGAACAAGUAAACUGGCCAUUUUGUGCAGGAGAUUUUCUGUUUAUACCUAGUAUUUAUACAGUCAUCAUUUAAAUGAACAAAUAAGAUUCAUUCAUUCACUCACUCACUCACUCACUCACUCACUCACUCACUCACUCACUCACUCACUCACUCACUCACUCACUCACUCACUCACUCACUCACUCACUCACUCACUCACUCACUCACUCACUCACUCACUCACUCAUUCAUUCAAAAUAUCCAAAGUUGUGUGUGCUAUGUGUAGAUGAGAAUAGAUCUCAUGUUACUCCAUUCGCUCAUACGACCAACUUCUAUCAAUUUAUCCAAGCGUUUAAUACGUCCUAUCAGGUCUCAAGUCAAGGCUUGGCACUGUGCUUUGUUGAAAUUUGCAAUUGCUGCAAAUCCAAUUUUGCCUGGGAACAAAAAUAGAUUAAACAAACUAAAUAAGUCUUAUUCCUUCCCAUUAAAUAAAUGAAAUAAGUCUCUCUUCUGCACAGUCCUUUUCAAACAAUUAAACUGGCCAUCCUGUGCAGUAGUUUUUGUGUUCACACCUAGUAUUUAUCAGAAAUCACAUUUGAAAUGACUUCAUUCAACCAUUUUGGAAAUUUGGAAUCCCAGCAAAUCCAUUCUUCCCAUUAAAUAAAGACGUCUUCUUCCCUUUAAAUAAAUGAAAUAAGUCUUACUUCCCACUGCUUUUCAAACAAGUAAAGUGCGAGAGGCUAGGUGCUAAGAGGCUAGGUGCUAAGAGGCUAGGUGCUAAGAGGCUAGGUGCUAAGAGGCUAGGUGCUAAGAGGCUAGGUGCUAAGAGGCUAGGUGCUAAGAGGCUAGGUGCUAAGGUCUGAUGUGGUUAGGUGCUAUAUAUAUAUAUAUAUAUUUAGGUCUAUAUAUCAACCUAUUUUAGAUCUAAAAAUCAACCUAUUUUAGACGUCUAUUUCUGGUCUAUAA